Molecule: ribosomal RNA, 1977 nt
Filed under: human vaginal metagenome
Description: bacterial LSU rRNA
Rfam family: Bacterial large subunit ribosomal RNA
Source: RNAcentral
UAAAGCGAAAGAAGGGCAUUCGGUGGAUGCCUUGGCUCUGAGAGGCGACGAAGGACGUGAUAAGCUGCGAAAAGCUGCGGGGAUCGGCAAAUACGACUUGAUCCGCAGAUAUCCGAAUGGGGCAACCCGGCAAGCUUGCUUGCCACCAUCCAUAAGAUGGAGCGAACGUGGGGAACUGAAACAUCUUAGUACCCAUAGGAAGAGAGAACAAUUUAGUGAUUCCCCUAGUAGAGGCGAUCGAACGGGGACGAGCCCAAACCGGCAGUGUCGCAAGGCAUUGCCGGGGUUGUAGGGCUCUCGAUAUCGCAAGAGUGACGCGAGGAGAAGUGACGUGGAAACGUCCACCAUAGACGGUGAUAGUCCGGUAACCGAAGCGAAGUGAAGCGUAGAGAGUACCUGAGUAGUGCGGGACACGUGCAAUCCUGUAUGAAUCCGGGAGGUCCAUCUCCCAAGGCUAAAUACUUCUCAGAGACCGAUAGUGAACAAGUACCGUGAGGGAAAGGUGAAAAGUACCGCUCAUAGCGGAUUGAAAUAGUACCUGAAACCGGAUGCCUACAAGCGGUCGGAGCCCUUCGGGGUGACGGCGUGCCUUUUGCAUAAUGAACCUACGAGUUACCAUGCACAGCAAGGCUAAGCGACCCAGUCGUGGAGCCGUAGCGAAAGCGAGUUUUAAAUGGCGUAUAGUUGUGUAGGGUAGACGCGAAACCAAGUGAUCUAUCCGUGUCCAGACUGAAGUGAGGGUAAAACCUCAUGGAGGGUCCAACGGAGAAAUGGUGAAAAAUUUCCCGAUGAGGUACGGAUAGGAGUGAAAGGCCAAUCAAACUUGGAGAUAGCUCGUACUCCCCGAAAUGCAUUUAGGUGCAGCCUUUAUGGUUAAGUACACGAGGUAGAGCGACUGAUUGGAUGCGAGAGCUUCACCGCUUAUCAAAUCCGGACAAACUCCGAAUGCGUGUAUGUAUUCAUGAAGAGUGAGGGUGCGGGAGCUAAGUUCCGUAUCCGAGAGGCAAAGAAGCCGGACCAUCAGCUAAGGCCCCCAAAUGAUGUCUAAGUUGAAUGAACGAAGUCGCAAUGCAGAGACAGCUAGGAUGUUGGCUUGGAAGCAGCCAUUCAUUUAAAGAGUGCGUAACAGCUCACUAGUCGAGGAUUGUGGCGUGGAUAAUAAUCGGGCAUAAGACAUCUGCCGAAGCUAUGGGAUCGAAAGAUCGGUAGGGGAGCAUUCCAGCGAGGCUGAAGGUGUGAGGUGACUCAUGCUGGACUCUCUGGAAGAGCAAAUGUAGGUAUAAGUAACGAUAAAGGAAGUGAGAAUCUUCCUCGCCGAAAGACUAAGGUUUCCUCUUCAACGUUCGUCGGAAGAGGGUUAGUCGAGACCUAAGGAGUAGCCGUAGUUGGCGUAUCCGAACGGAUGAAUGGGUUAAUAUUCCCAUACUGGUUACACGUAGUGGAUGCAAGGACGAAGGAGUGAAAGCCUCGCCUGCUGACGGAAUAGCUGGUUAAAGGGUGUAGGCGCUGAUGGGGUAGUAAAGUACGUCCCAGAGCCGAAUCUGAUAGUACCGGGAAUCUACGGAGGAACGGAUAGAGGUGUAAGCAGACUUCCAAGAAAAGUUGCUACAUGAUUGAUGUGUAAGCACUCGUACCACAAACCGACACAGGUAGUUGGGUUGAGUAUACUAAGGCGCGCGAGAUAGGCGUGGUUAAGGAACUAGGCAAAAUGGAUCUGUAACUUCGGGAAAAAGAUCGCCCUCCUCCGGGAGGGUUGCAGAGAAUAGGCUCAAGCGACUGUUUACCAAAAACAUAGGGCUGUGCGAAAUAGAAAUAUGCAGUAUACAGCCUGACACCUGCCCGGUGCCGGAAGGUUAAGAGGAGAGGUCAUCCGUAAGGAGAAGCCUUGAAUUGAAGCCCCGGUAAACGGCGGCCGUAACUAUAACGGUCCUAAGGUAGCGAAAUUCCUUGUCGGGUAAGUUCCGACCUGCACGAAUG